This is a long non-coding RNA of Pseudomyrmex gracilis, 324 nucleotides long. RefSeq lists it as uncharacterized. The transcript has 3 exons. NCBI's taxonomy places the organism in Eukaryota, Metazoa, Arthropoda, Insecta, Hymenoptera, Formicidae. The record is from RefSeq and is a predicted model, not a curated record.
UUCAUUUUAACGGACUAUGAAUACCAGCUUAUAACAUAUUCGCAUCAAUUCUAAACUCUUUUUAGACAAAAUUAGAAGCUAUUUUUGACCGAAUUUAACUAUCAAAGGAUCAUUCUGUUUUAAAAAUAGUUUGCUCCUUUUUUGGUUUCGCUGGCAUCACUCCGGUUAACACUCUGUAAGUGUUCAAGUUCCAAGUGGAGCUCGGUGACGGCAUUUGGAAGUCAAUUGGACUGACCAAACCAUAUUUCCGGCUUGAACGGACAAAGAGUGUUAGCAGCAUCCAAGAAUAAUUUACUGGUCUCAUUGGCUAAAGCUGAUAUUAAG